AGUAAUGUCUGGGAAACUGCCUGAUGGAGGGGGAUAACUACUGGAAACGGUAGCUAAUACCGCAUAACGUCGCAAGACCAAAGUGGGGGACCUUCGGGCCCCAUGCCAUCAGAUGUGCCCAGAUGGGAUUAGCUAGUAGGUGGGGUAAUGGCUCACCUAGGCGACGAUCCCUAGCUGGUCUGAGAGGAUGACCAGCCACACUGGAACUGAGACACGGUCCAG
RNAcentral lists this ribosomal RNA (222 nucleotides) under uncultured bacterium. RNAcentral's name for it is "partial 16S ribosomal RNA". It matches the Rfam family "Bacterial small subunit ribosomal RNA", at positions 109 to 334 of the family's 1533-position model. The record is from RNAcentral.